Molecule: ribosomal RNA, 616 nt
Filed under: Candida albicans
Lineage: Eukaryota; Fungi; Ascomycota; Pichiomycetes; Serinales; Debaryomycetaceae
Description: partial large subunit ribosomal RNA
Rfam family: Eukaryotic large subunit ribosomal RNA
Source: RNAcentral
UGCAUAUCAAUAAGCGGAGGAAAAGAAACCAACAGGGAUUGCCUCAGUAGCGGCGAGUGAAGCGGCAAAAGCUCAAAUUUGAAAUCUGGCGUCUUUGGCGUCCGAGUUGUAAUUUGAAGAAGGUAUCUUUGGGCCCGGCUCUUGUCUAUGUUCCUUGGAACAGGACGUCACAGAGGGUGAGAAUCCCGUGCGAUGAGAUGACCCGGGUCUGUGUAAAGUUCCUUCGACGAGUCGAGUUGUUUGGGAAUGCAGCUCUAAGUGGGUGGUAAAUUCCAUCUAAAGCUAAAUAUUGGCGAGAGACCGAUAGCGAACAAGUACAGUGAUGGAAAGAUGAAAAGAACUUUGAAAAGAGAGUGAAAAAGUACGUGAAAUUGUUGAAAGGGAAGGGCUUGAGAUCAGACUUGGUAUUUUGCAUGUUGCUCUCUCGGGGGCGGCCGCUGCGGUUUACCGGGCCAGCAUCGGUUUGGAGCGGCAGGAUAAUGGCGGAGGAAUGUGGCACGGCUUCUGCUGUGUGUUAUAGCCUCUGACGAUACUGCCAGCCUAGACCGAGGACUGCGGUUUUUACCUAGGAUGUUGGCAUAAUGAUCUUAAGUCGCCCGUCUUGAAACACGGACCC